GCUUUUGUGCGGCGCAUCCAGGAGUCUGAGGUGAAGGAGGCUUUAAAAAGGAUGAAAGGAGGCAAGGCGAUGGGCUCUGAUUGUAUCCCCAUUGAGGUGUGGAAAGGUCUCGGGGACAUAGCGAUAGUAUGGCUAACCAAGCUUUUCAACCUCAUUUUUCGGGCAAACAAGAUGCCAGAAGAAUGGAGACGGAGUAUAUUAGUACCAAUCUUCAAGAACAAGGGGGAUGUUCAGAGUUGUACUAAUUACCGUGGAAUUAAGCUGAUGAGCCAUACAAUGAAGCUAUGGGAGAGAGUCAUUGAGCACCGCUUAAGAAGAAUUACAAGCGUGACCAAAAAUCAGUUUGGUUUCAUGCCUGGGAGGUCGACCAUGGAAGCCAUUUUCUUGGUACGACAACUUAUGGAGAGAUAUAGGGAGCAUAAGAAGGACUUGCAUAUGGUGUUCAUUGACUUGGAGAAGGCCUAUGAUAAGAUACCGCGGAAUGUCAUGUGGUGGGCCUUGGAGAAACACAAAGUCCCAGCAAAGUACAUUACCCUCAUCAAGGACAUGUACAAUAAUGUUGUGACAAGUGUUCGAACAAGUGAUGUCGACAUCGAUGACUUCCCGAUUAAGAUAGGACUGCAUCAGGGGUUAGCUUUGAGCCCUUAUCUUUUUGCAUUGGUGAUGGAUGAGGUCACAAGGGGUAUACAAGGAGAUAUCCCAUGGUGUAUGCUCUUUGCGGAUGAUGUGGUGCUAGUUGACGAUAGUCGGACGGGGGUAAAUAGGAAGUUAGAGUUAUGGAGACAAACCUUGGAAUCGAAAGGGUUUAGGCUUAGUAGAACUAAAACCGAGUACAUGAUGUGCGGUUUCAGUACUACUAGCUGUGAGGAGGAGGAGGUUAGCCUUGAUGGCCAGGUGGUACCUCGGAAGGACACCUUUCGGUAUUUGGGGUCAAUGUUGCAGGAGGAUGGGGGUAUUGAUGAAGAUGUGAACCAUCGAAUCAAAGCCGGAUGGAUGAAGUGGCGCCAAGCUUCUGGCAUUCUCUGUGACAAGAGAGUGCCACAAAAGCUAAAAGGCAAGUUCUACAGGACGGCGGUUCGACCCGCAAUGUUGUAUGGCGCGGAGUGUUGGCCGACUAAAAGGCGACAUGUUCAACAGUUAGGUGUGGCGGAGAUGCGUAUGUUGAGAUGGAUGUGUGGCCACACGAGGAAGGAUCGAGUCCGGAAUGAUGAUAUACGAGAUAGAGUUAGGGUAGCACCAAUUGAGGAGAAGCUUGUCCAACAUCGUUUGAGAUGGUUUGGGCAUAUUCAGCGCAGGCCUCCAGAAGCUCCAGUGCAUAGCGGACGGCUAAAGCAU
Molecule: ribosomal RNA, 1335 nt
Filed under: Triticum aestivum (bread wheat)
Lineage: Eukaryota; Viridiplantae; Streptophyta; Magnoliopsida; Poales; Poaceae
Description: partial small subunit ribosomal RNA
Source: RNAcentral